GAGUUUGAUCAUGGCUCAGAUUGAACGCUGGCGGCAGGCCUAACACAUGCAAGUCGAGCGGAUGAAGGGAGCUUGCUCCUGGAUUCAGCGGCGGACGGGUGAGUAAUGCCUAGGAAUCUGCCUGGUAGUGGGGGAUAACGUCCGGAAACGGGCGCUAAUACCGCAUACGUCCUGAGGGAGAAAGUGGGGGAUCUUCGGACCUCACGCUAUCAGAUGAGCCUAGGUCGGAUUAGCUAGUUGGUGGGGUAAAGGCCUACCAAGGCGACGAUCCGUAACUGGUCUGAGAGGAUGAUCAGUCACACUGGAACUGAGACACGGUCCAGACUCCUACGGGAGGCAGCAGUGGGAAUAUUGGACAAUGGGCGAAAGCCUGAUCCAGCCAUGCCGCGUGUGUGAAGAAGGUCUUCGGAUUGUAAAGCACUUUAAGUUGGGAGGAAGGGCAGUAAGUUAAUACCUUGCUGUUUUGACGUUACCAACAGAAUAAGCACCGGCUAACUUCGUG
RNAcentral lists this ribosomal RNA (502 nucleotides) under uncultured microorganism. Its description in RNAcentral is "bacterial SSU rRNA". It matches the Rfam family "Bacterial small subunit ribosomal RNA", at positions 9 to 507 of the family's 1533-position model. The record is from RNAcentral.